AGAGUUUGAUCAUGGCUCAGAACGAACGCUGGCGGCGUGCUUAACACAUGCAAGUCGAGUGCGCGUUCCGUAGCAAUACGGAAUGGCGCACGGCGCACGGGUGCGUAACACGUGGGUAACCUGCCCUUUGGUGGGGAAUAACUCCGCGAAAGCGGAGCUAAUUCCGCAUAAGAUCCGCAAGGAUGAAAGCCGAGAGGCGCCGAUGGAGGGGCCCGCGCACGAUUAGCUAGUUGGUAGGGUAACGGCCUACCAAGGCUUUGAUCGUUAGCUGGUCUGAGAGGAUGGCCAGCCACACUGGAACUGAGACACGGUCCAGACUCCUACGGGAGGCAGCAGUGGGGAAUCUUGCACAAUGGGCGAAAGCCUGAUGCAGCGACGCCGCGUGGGGGAUGAAGCAUUUCGGUGUGUAAACCCCUUUCGAUCCGGACGAAUGCCCGCAAGGGAUUGACGGUACGGAUAUAAGAAGCCCCGGCUAACUACGUGCCAGCAGCCGCGGUAAGACGUAGGGGGCCAGCGUUGUUCGGAAUUACUGGGUGUAAAGGGUUCGUAGGCGGUGCGGCAAGUUGGGAGUGAAAUCUCUGGGCUUAACCCAGAGGCUGCUUCCAAAACUGCUGUGCUUGAGUGUGGGAGAGGCGCGUGGAAUUGCAGGUGUAGCGGUGAAAUGCGUAGAUAUCUGCAGGAACACCCGUGGCGAAAGCGGCGCGCUGGACCACUACUGACGCUGAGGAACGAAAGCUAGGGGAGCAAACAGGAUUAGAUACCCUAGUAGUCC
RNAcentral lists this ribosomal RNA (772 nucleotides) under uncultured bacterium. RNAcentral describes it as "bacterial SSU rRNA". It matches the Rfam family "Bacterial small subunit ribosomal RNA", at positions 8 to 796 of the family's 1533-position model. The record is from RNAcentral.